This 301-nucleotide ribosomal RNA is filed under the name uncultured bacterium. RNAcentral describes it as "partial 16S ribosomal RNA". It matches the Rfam family "Bacterial small subunit ribosomal RNA", at positions 509 to 808 of the family's 1533-position model. The record is from RNAcentral.
CAGCAGCCGCGGUAAUACGAAGGGUGCAAGCGUUAAUCGGAAUUACUGGGCGUAAAGCGUGCGUAGGUGGUGGUUUAAGUCCGUUGUGAAAGCCCUGGGCUCAACCUGGGAAUGGCAGUGGAUACUGGCUCGCUAGAGUGUGUCAGAGGAUGGUGGAAUUCCCGGUGUAGCGGUGAAAUGCGUAGAGAUCGGGAGGAACAUCAGUGGCGAAGGCGGCCAUCUGGGACAACACUGACGCUGAGGCACGAAAGCGUGGGGAGCAAACAGGAUUAGAUACCCCGUAGUCCCUGUCUCUUAUACA